Chinchilla lanigera (long-tailed chinchilla) is the source of this 764-nucleotide long non-coding RNA. RefSeq lists it as uncharacterized. The transcript has 3 exons. NCBI's taxonomy places the organism in Eukaryota, Metazoa, Chordata, Mammalia, Rodentia, Chinchillidae. The record is from RefSeq and is a predicted model, not a curated record.
AUGGAAUGUUCCAUUGUCUGUUAGGUUCCUUUGAUGCCUCCUACCAUCCUGAUGACACAUAGAGAUGAAGGAAAGGCACAAGUUUGCUCUGUGUGAGCUGAGGAAAUAGGAUGUCAUCCCAAAUGUCUUCAAGCUUCCAGUCUCUCCCAGCCUGGCCAGGUCCACUGUCCGCUACUUCAGCAUUCACAACAUCUGCACUACAAAAAAUCUGCAUUUCCUGUUACGUCCUGUUAGAGGAGAGCAUUUGAAGCUUUGGGGGCAAAUAUCCAUGGGAAGUAGAAGGAGAGAUAAAACCUGGAUUAUGCAAAUAAAACAUCCAAAAGCAAAAACAAUUGUUAACAAGCCCAGAAGAAACUGACAGUGGCUAAGGCUUGGACACACCUGCAAAUAAAUUCCUUCAAUAAGAAAGCUCCAAAAUGGAUUUUCAGAAACUGCCUCCAGAAUCCACAGAAGGUCAGUUUGAAACUGGCUUUUCAAGGACAGGCAUGCACAAAAGAUGCUCCACCCUAAAUGAUGACUUUUUCCAUCACAAACUCAAAAAUCCUCCACAUGGAACAAGACAACACCCGCUAGAAAGGAAAAGUGGACCCAUGAAGAGGCAUGAUGAUUGUUGAGAGCUACACAAAAGAACUCUUAACUCUUUACCUUCUCGCCAUCCAAGCACUAAGCAAUUUCUCUUCUCUCUUUCUAUAAAUUUUGUUACUACCAGCCAACUGGGGAGAUUUGAGCUUUCAUCAUGUCUCCUUGAUCAUCCAACCCCAAUA